Molecule: non-coding RNA, 521 nt
Organism: Tetranychus urticae (two-spotted spider mite)
Lineage: Eukaryota; Metazoa; Arthropoda; Arachnida; Trombidiformes; Tetranychidae
Source: RefSeq, a predicted model, not a curated record
UCGUAAUUAAAAGACGGUCCCUGAUCAAAUGACUUUCAUUGCAAAAGACAAAUCUUAAAUUUAAACUGCAUUUGUUUACAAUUUAUUUAUUUUUCAACUAGUUAAAUUAAAUUAUUUCGUGUUUUUUCACAAUUCUAGAAUUUAUCAAUAAUGGCCGGUGGAGGUGAACAUGUUGAUGAAUCCCAAUUUACUGGAAUUUCAAAAUAUUUCAAUUCCUAUACCAAUACUGGACGUCGAAACUGUUCGAUUCUUACUCUUAGUGUCACAGCUGGUCUGAUACUUUAUUUCACUAAAUUUAGGAAAUCAGGAAAACAAGAAGCCAAGAAAUAACUGGUUCUGUCUCACAUGGAUCACAAUUUCGAUGGGUUUGUUAGUUAGCUAUCAUAACUUCUUAUGGUUAGCAUUAGCAUGAUAAGCAUGCAAAGAUUUUUUGUUUUUCUUGAUUAACCUAAUAGAAAUAUGUUCAUUCAUUUUGAAUGUUAUAGAGAUUCUUAAUAAACGUUCUGUCAUCCCUUGGCUAA